Molecule: ribosomal RNA, 991 nt
Filed under: human gut metagenome
Description: bacterial LSU rRNA
Rfam family: Bacterial large subunit ribosomal RNA
Source: RNAcentral
GGUGCCCGUACCGCAAACCGACACAGGUAGGUAGGAAGAAGAUUCUAAGGCCAACGGGAGAAGGGUUGUUAAGGAACUCGGCAAAUUGACCCCGUAACUUCGGGAGAAGGGGUGCUCCAGAGAUGGAGCCGCAGAGAAUCGGCCCAAGCAACUGUUUACCAAAAACACAGGUUUGUGCUAAAUCGAAAGAUGACGUAUACGAGCUGACGCCUGCCCGGUGCUGGAAGGUUAAGAGGAGAUGUGCAAGCAUUGAAUCGAAGCCCCAGUGAACGGCGGCCGUAACUAUAACGGUCCUAAGGUAGCGAAAUUCCUUGUCAGGUAAGUUCUGACCCGCAUGAAAGGCGUAAUGAUUUGGGCACUGUCUCAACAGCCCGCCCGGCGAAAUUGUAGUACCGGUGAAGAUGCCGGUUACCCGCGACAAGACGGAAAGACCCCAUGGAGCUUUACUGUAGCCUAAUAUUGGGUUUCGAUGUUGCAUGCACAGGAUAGAUGGGACACUGGGAAACAAUCGCUUUGGCGGUUGCGGAGUGGCCGUUGGGAUACCAUCCUUGCGAUAUUGGAAUUCUAACCUGCGGCUCUGAAUCGAGUCGGGGGACAUUGUUAGGUGGGCAGUUUGACUGGGGCGGUCGCCUCCUAAAGAGUAACGGAGGCGUUCAAAGGUUCGCUCAGCUUGAACGGAAAUCAAGCAAAAGAGUGCAAACGCAGAAGCGAGCCUAACUGCGAGACUGACGGGUCGAGCAGUAACGAAAGUUGGAGUUAGUGAUCCGGUGGUAUGUGAGUGGAAAUGCCAUCGCUCAACGGAUAAAAGUUACCCUGGGGAUAACAGGCUGAUCUCCCCCAAGAGUCCACAUCGACGGGGAGGUUUGGCACCUCGAUGUCGGCUCAUCGCAUCCUGGGGCUGUAUUCGGUCCCAAGGGUUUGGCUGUUCGCCAAUUAAAGCGGUACGCGAGCUGGGUUCAGAACGUCGUGAGACAGUUCGGUCCCUAUCUGU